Aedes albopictus (Asian tiger mosquito) is the source of this 534-nucleotide long non-coding RNA. RefSeq lists it as uncharacterized. The record is from RefSeq and is a predicted model, not a curated record. The transcript has 2 exons. Lineage: Eukaryota; Metazoa; Arthropoda; Insecta; Diptera; Culicidae.
CAUACUCUCUGUUUCAUUUUGCACAAGAUUUGGAACGCGAUCCAGUCCGUUCCAAAUUGUUUGACAGCUGUUGUUUGUUUUGGUUUCGCUGCAUAUUCGCGACAACUUUUGUUGCAGUUUAUCGUUUAAUUUCGGAUCGCGCGUGAUAUCGUUUUGUAUUUGUUGCUGUUUUCCUGCCCCGGACCGGGGAAAAUGCAAUCAAUAUCAUCAGCGGAAAAUUGCCCGGAAUGAAUUAUCAACCACUUCGUUUCUUAUCAGUUCUAGAACAGAACGGUACCGUUGGAUCAAGAGCUGGGCGAUCGCAACAUGACUGAUGACCAUCAGAAGCUUUCGAGAGGAAACAAGCUGGAACCGGAAUGGGAAGAGCUUUGCAGGUGUGUUUUUACUCUGGCCGUGACGGCGGAGGCGGAUGACGAUUAGGCACAGCUUUGGAUUAGUCCGCAAAGAAGUUGUUUGGGGAGGCCAAUGGAUAACCGUGCUGAAACCGGAAGACAAUGUACGGCAUAUGAAUAAAUAGUGUGCUAAUCAAGUGUA